Ananas comosus (pineapple) is the source of this 463-nucleotide long non-coding RNA. RefSeq lists it as uncharacterized. The record is from RefSeq and is a predicted model, not a curated record. The transcript has 4 exons. NCBI's taxonomy places the organism in Eukaryota, Viridiplantae, Streptophyta, Magnoliopsida, Poales, Bromeliaceae.
AGCAGAGAUUCCAUUUCUCUUCUUAUCCUUCAUCUCCUUUCUCCUCCUUCUCUCCCUCUAGGCUAGUGGAAACCUGAAGUAGUGUUGGCAGCUGGGUGGAAUUUCAGCUGAGGACAAGAAGAAGUGAGCUGAGAGCAAUCUGGAUUUAUAUCAAGAUAAGGAUUUAUAGUUAAGAAAAUUGAUGGCAGCCUUGAUCUUUCGAGUUGCCGAGUUGACAUCUCGGGUAAAUAGACCAGAGAAUUAGCUGAAGAAACUUUGUAAAGCUGAAGGAGAUCCUCGGGAAGCCUCCAAAUCAGCUUGAAGGGUUGCGGACUGAAGAGAAGAAAACUGGAUCCGAGUGGAGGAUCCCUGUUGUGGAGCAACUAAGUAACUUGAUACUAUAUUUAAACUAAGAUUUCAGGAUUGGAGGUUUUGGGUUAGUUGAGGCUGAAUGGAAGUUGGAAGAGCCUUGAAUUGAGGCAAG